UUACGAAAAGAAUUAUCUAGAUGUUCGAGUUAUUAAAAUAAGAGUUAAUUUUAUUAAAUAUAUCGAAUAACAAAUAUAUUCUUACAAAGUUUAAUUUUUUCAUAUUAAUUCUUAUAAAAGUCUAAUAAAAUUCAAAUUUAUCUGUCUAGUUUGUUACCGUUAAAGUACUAUUUAUUUUUUAACAAAAAAAUAAAUAAAAUAAUAUUUUUAUCAUCAUAAAUAUGCCUCUCUGUACCAAAAAAAAAAAAAAUAGAUAAAAAAGUUAAUUUACCUUAUUCAGUAAACAGGAUUAAGUAUUUUAUAGUUAACUAUAUAUAUAUAUAUAUUUUAACGGAUCCUAACAGUAGGAAUACGUUUGAAAACGUUAGGAUUUUUAAAAAAAUAAAUAUAAAAUGUUAAACUUUGUGGGAAUAUAUCUGCUAUUUGAUAUAUUUACAGGGAGCUGUAUAUAAUUAACUCUUAAAAGAAAAUAAAGACAAAAUUAGGUUUAUGUUCAGAAGCAAAUUUUAUUUGGAAGUUGCUAGUGGGUUUAAUGUUGGUGGG
This 543-nucleotide long non-coding RNA is filed under the name Ananas comosus (pineapple). RNAcentral's name for it is "long non-coding RNA (ACOM_LNC010948)". Lineage: Eukaryota; Viridiplantae; Streptophyta; Magnoliopsida; Poales; Bromeliaceae. The record is from RNAcentral.